RNAcentral lists this ribosomal RNA (512 nucleotides) under uncultured bacterium. RNAcentral describes it as "partial 16S ribosomal RNA". It matches the Rfam family "Bacterial small subunit ribosomal RNA", at positions 29 to 523 of the family's 1533-position model. The record is from RNAcentral.
AGUGAACGCUGGCGGCGUGCUUAACACAUGCAAGUCGAGCGGAUGGAAGGAAGCUUGCUUCCUAAAGUCAGCGGCGGACGGGUGAGUAACACGUGGGCAACCUGCCCCUAAGAUCGGGAUAACUUCGGGAAACCGGAGCUAAUACCGGAUAUGAUUAUGUCUCACAUGAGACAUAAUGGAAAGACGGUUUCGGCUGUCACUUAGGGAUGGGCCCGCGGCGCAUUAGCUAGUUGGUGAGGUAACGGCUCACCAAGGCGACGAUGCGUAGCCGACCUGAGAGGGUGAUCGGCCACACUGGGACUGAGACACGGCCCAGACUCCUACGGGAGGCAGCAGUAGGGAAUCUUCCGCAAUGGACGAAAGUCUGACGGAGCAACGCCGCGUGAGUGAAGAAGGUUUUCGGAUCGUAAAACUCUGUUGUUAGGGAAGAACAAGUACCAUAGUAACUAAUGGUACCUUGACGGUACCUAACCAGAAAGCCACGGCUAACUACGUGCCAGCAGCCGCCGUAA